UUGGGUGUCUCUCCUGUAUAAAGACAUGCGCCUCCUUCCACAGGCGACUUCGCCGCCCGCUGUUCUAUCAAACCCUAGCCGCCAUCGCAGAUGGCGAUCUGCGUCUCAUCCCGAUUCCUUUUGCUGGUCUUUCUUCGCCUAUCUAGUGUGCGUUUCUUGCUUCUUGCCUGCUUCCCUGAAAGGAUGUGCUUCUUCUUGCUGCAAAGUGAUGCUUCUUCUUCUUCUUGCUGCCAGGUGAUGCUUUGGGUUAUUGCGCAAGGGCUUUGAGCAGUUCAUGGCAUGUUUUUGCCUGACGCGAUGAGAUCACAAAUUAUUUACCAUCCCUUCUGAUGGCAGCACCUCGUUCAUCUCUCUCCCCUUCGUUUGAUGAUUUUUUUUUUGAGGCAACCCUUCGUUUGAUGAUGGUUGUAUGCAAUUAAGCAAGAAAAUCGUGCCGUUCCGAGUUCUUUUUUCUCUGUUUUGUAGUAAUUAACAAUCUGGUGCCUUUUUGCCCUCGUUUACUUUUCACAAAAUCUUCCGUUGCCAAGUGAUGUUCGGGUUAUUGCGCAAGGGCUUUGAGCAAUUCGUUGGCACUUUUGUGCUAAUGCCGUGAAAUUAAAACUACAUGACAUCCCUCCUGAUGGCAAUUUGGUACUCAAGUACUUUGUAGAUAUUACAACCAUAAGCACUAGACAAUGUUUUUCGGUGUAAUUUGUAUGGACUUAUUUCUUAAUUGUUUUCAGAAUAAUUGUAUCGGCUUCGUGAAGUUUAA
RNAcentral lists this long non-coding RNA (751 nucleotides) under Triticum aestivum (bread wheat). RNAcentral's name for it is "long non-coding RNA (TAES_LNC027539)". Lineage: Eukaryota; Viridiplantae; Streptophyta; Magnoliopsida; Poales; Poaceae. The record is from RNAcentral.